Molecule: ribosomal RNA, 427 nt
Filed under: uncultured bacterium
Lineage: Bacteria
Description: partial 16S ribosomal RNA
Rfam family: Bacterial small subunit ribosomal RNA
Source: RNAcentral
UGGGGAAUAUUGGACAAUGGGCGAAAGCCUGAUCCAGCCAUGCCGCGUGUGUGAAGAAGGUCUUCGGAUUGUAAAGCACUUUAAGUUGGGAGGAAGGGCAUUAACCUAAUACGUUAGUGUUUUGACGUUACCGACAGAAUAAGCACCGGCUAACUCUGUGCCAGCAGCCGCGGUAAUACAGAGGGUGCAAGCGUUAAUCGGAAUUACUGGGCGUAAAGCGCGCGUAGGUGGUUUGUUAAGUUGGAUGUGAAAGCCCCGGGCUCAACCUGGGAACUGCAUCCAAAACUGGCAAGCUAGAGUACGGUAGAGGGUGGUGGAAUUUCCUGUGUAGCGGUGAAAUGCGUAGAUAUAGGAAGGAACACCAGUGGCGAAGGCGACCACCUGGACUGACACUGACACUGAGGUGCGAAAGCGUGGGGAGCAAACA